AUCAGAACUGGUGGCCUCAGUGUGCGAUGGUGUUCAGGUGCAGGUGGGGUUAGCGGGGUUUCCGGUUUUCGUUAGAGACAGCUGCAGAAAGGUUAUUGCCAGACCGAGGCUGCAAAGUUGCAGAGGGACCAUGUUCUGGGCCUAAGGCUGGGACAGGUUCCACCAGAUGUCCUCUCACCCACACCACCAACCCCUGGCCCACCCAGAAACCACAGGAGAACCUCUUCCUCCUGCAGGGCCCCUCCAGUGCCUGCUACUGAAAAAGCUUAACACUUUAAGCUCACUUACUUUUAAAAUUGUAUUUAUUAUACUGUGUUUGUGUGUCUAUAUAUAUUAUAAAAAUAUAAUUUUACUUUAUUGCUGACUUUAAAGGAGAAAUACUUAAAGGAAUCCCAUUGUAUAUCCCAGAGCAUAAUGAAGGGUGUAUUUGGAGCUGAGAAGCAAUAAAUUGAUAGCUGACACAGGCAGUCAAACAUUCUAAGGGGAACUGAAAAAUGUGGUCAUUCUCCGGGCUGUUUUAGCUCCACUACUGAACAGCUAGCUGUGCUGGAUUUCAUAACGCAUCCCCAGACCCUGAGAAAUUGCUUAAUGCUCAUUCUGGGUAUCAACUUGGGGCACUUGGCUAGUUUGCAGCUCUAAAGAGGGUCAGCUCAGUUUCUGCCGUGGCUUCAGUGUGACAGCUCUGUGCUCUCCUUCUUUCCUUCCAGCUGCUGUGUGCGCUGUCUGGGAAGUUCUACUCCAGCAUUCGACUGACCUUCCCCAGCACACUCACAGGUCAUUGUUCUGGGACACUCACAUUUCCCACAGUUCCAGACCAGUGGGUUAUACCACAUGCUCCACUUUCCACUGUCUCUCUUUGGGGAAAAAAAAAUCAGGCUCUUCCAUGGUUGUUUAAUUUUCUUGAUGGUGCAAACAGCUUCUGUCACGAGAGAUCAUUUUUAGGAGACCAGGUUCUAGAAUCAGACAUCCCCCAGUGCCAGCAUUUAGUUAAGUUGUGCAUCAAGUCUUGAAACCUGUUUUCUCAUC
Molecule: long non-coding RNA, 1026 nt
Filed under: Equus asinus (donkey)
Lineage: Eukaryota; Metazoa; Chordata; Mammalia; Perissodactyla; Equidae
Description: lncRNA (ENSEASG00005033817.1)
Source: RNAcentral